Long non-coding RNA from Hevea brasiliensis (rubber tree), 1156 nucleotides. RefSeq lists it as uncharacterized. NCBI's taxonomy places the organism in Eukaryota, Viridiplantae, Streptophyta, Magnoliopsida, Malpighiales, Euphorbiaceae. The record is from RefSeq and is a predicted model, not a curated record. The transcript is spliced from 2 exons.
GUGUAGAAGGGAAGAAAAACAAACGAAGAAGAAAAAACCAAACCCAUAAAUUUGGCAGAAAGAAGAACAUAAGAAAUAUCAAACAAUUGUAUACAAAGCCAAAGGAAAAUCAUAAUAAAUUAAUAAAACUAACUGAGAUUUUAGAAUAGAGGGGCAAAAGAUGAUAAUCCCCACUGAAAAGAGGAUAAUUUAGAGAAAUAGCAGUGUCAUUGAGUGUGUUUCUCAGCUUUGCUAAGAAGGCAAAUUGAGCGUGAGUGGGUUACCCAAGACCAAUGGCCCCACCAAGAGAUAUCUCUGAAAUUGUCAAGGAAUUCUAAAGGUUGCUAGUCCAAGAAGAAAAAGCCUAGGUGUGCCCAGCAGUGAGCCGAGUGUGUUACUUGGGUGGUCUUUUAGCCCAUGAGUGCAUUAUGUGAGCCAAGAACAUUAUAAAGGGCAACAACUUCCAGAAUUGGCUGAACAGCAAAUGCUUGGUCCUUGCAAAAAGAGAUAUAGAAAGCAUUGAGAGUGUAUGGCGAGGUUCUAACUAAAGCUAGUAAGGCGUCUAUCGGAGGACAAGAGGCCUUAUUAUGCCAAAUACGCGCACAAAAAAUUCGUUAACUACAGAGAGGUCGAUGCCAAUGACACUGCUUCCCUCGAUGAGCUCUUCCAUUAAGCCUACAAUCGCUCCCUCUAGUAUUCAGCUGAUGAAUUAGCUGUUAAUAAGCUAAAGCAGAUUUGUUACGGUUGAAAGCAAAACAAGAAAAGAAAGAGUCUGUAACCAAAGUGUUUGUUGUUAUGCCCAAAUGGGUAGACUGCUUGCUUUCUUAUGCCUUUUAAAUUUGAGUUUAUACAGUUUCUCUCUUCCCUUUGGAUUUAUUACAAAACAUGUGUUAAAAGGUUUAUAAUUUUUUUCUCAUAAUGGGUUAAGCUUAGUUGAUCAUUGUAGUUUGAUUAAGUUCAGUUUCUUCAUUUGAACUAGUUUAGUCUUGCUGCAUCUUUUUGAUGCUGUAAUUUUGGAUUUUUUUAAGAACAUUCCAUGUUUCAAUUACUGGUGAGCUGCAACAAUUUAUGUAUUGUAUGAUAUGAAUGUUGCUAGUAGUUAUUAUGCAAUAUUAACUUCCACUUCAUUGGAAUGUAGCAGAUGAUAAAUAAAGUUCUUGUUUCAAAAUCUCUUUCA